UACGAAGGACCCGAGCGUUCUCCGGAUUUAUUGGGUUUAAAGGGUGCGUAGGCGUCCUGGAAAGUUACGGUUGAAAUCUCCUUGCUCAACAAGGAAACUGGCCGUAAAACUAUCAGGAUUGAGUACAUUUGAAGCGGGCGGAAUGUGUCAUGUAGCGGUGAAAUGCUUAGAUAUGACACAGAACACCAAUUGCGAAGGCAGCUCGCUAAACUGUAACUGACGCUGAGGCACGAAAGCGUGGGGAUCAAACAGG
Molecule: ribosomal RNA, 253 nt
Filed under: uncultured bacterium
Lineage: Bacteria
Description: partial 16S ribosomal RNA
Rfam family: Bacterial small subunit ribosomal RNA
Source: RNAcentral